Molecule: ribosomal RNA, 915 nt
Filed under: Triticum aestivum (bread wheat)
Lineage: Eukaryota; Viridiplantae; Streptophyta; Magnoliopsida; Poales; Poaceae
Description: partial small subunit ribosomal RNA
Source: RNAcentral
AUGAGCAAGAGGCGAGCCGUCUUGUUGUUACGGGAAAGAUUCCGGUCCUGUUUCCUGGCGCACCGCGGCGACCGGCCGACGAGCAUCCACCGCCUCCAAGCCGCCUCUCCUCACUGCAGCAGCGUAGCGACUUCUUCCUCCAGCUGCAGAGCCUCUCCGCAUCAGGAGUUCCUCGCCAUGGAGGUACUCCGCUCCAUCUUCUCCUGUUUCUCCUCGCCCCGCUCCCAUGGACUGUGGUCGAGCGGAGCUAGCGACAAGAACAAGGCCAUGGUUGAGCAACUGCAGAGAUAUGGGGUAAUCAAGUCGACCAAAGUUGCGGAGGUCAUGGAGACCAUCGAUAGGGGGCUGUUUGUGCCUCCGGGUGGUUCUCCCUAUUUUGAUAGCCCAAUGGCAAUUGGCUACAACGCAACCAUAUCUGCGCCUCACAUGCAUGCUGCUUGCCUGGAGCUCCUGGAGGAUCAUCUGCAGCCUGGUAUGCGGGCUCUGGAUGUUGGAUCAGGCACUGGGUACCUAACAGCUUGCUUUGCACUUAUGGUUGGACCGGGGGGACGAGCAGUUGGUGUUGAACACAUACCAGAGUUGGUUGCUUCUUCUACCGAAAACAUCAAGAAAAGUGCAGCAGCCCCACAGCUGAAUGAUGGAUCCCUCAGUAUUCAUAUUGCUGAUGGUAGGGAAGGCUGGCCCGAGCUUGCACCAUAUGACUGCAUCCAUGUCGGAGCUGCAGCACCGCAGAUUCCAGAGGCGUUAAUCGAGCAGCUGAAGCCUGGUGGCAGAAUGGUGAUCCCGGUUGGGACCAUCUUCCAGGAGCUGAAGGUGGUUGACAAGAAUCUAGACGACGGUGUCAGCAUAAGAGACGAGACGUCUGUGCGCUAUGUGCCUCUCACCAGCAAGGAUGCCCAGUUGCACUCAAAUUGA